This 242-nucleotide ribosomal RNA is filed under the name uncultured bacterium. Its description in RNAcentral is "partial small subunit ribosomal RNA". It matches the Rfam family "Bacterial small subunit ribosomal RNA", at positions 26 to 285 of the family's 1533-position model. The record is from RNAcentral.
AGAAUCAACGCUGGCGGCGUGCCUAACACAUGCAAGUCGAACGAGAAAGUGGAGCAAUCCAUGAGUAAAGUGGCGCACGGAUGAGUAACACGUGACUAACCUACCCUUGAGUGGGGGAUAACUGAGGGAAACCUUAGCUAAUACCGCAUAAUACCCACGGGUCAAAGGAGCAAUUCGCUCGAGGAGGGGUCGCGGCCGAUUAGUUAGUUGGCGGGUAAUGGCCCACAAGACGAUGAUCGGUA